Molecule: long non-coding RNA, 11438 nt
Filed under: Homo sapiens (human)
Lineage: Eukaryota; Metazoa; Chordata; Mammalia; Primates; Hominidae
Description: non-protein coding lnc-IMPDH1-3:5
Source: RNAcentral
AACCAGGGCACCCCGCGCCGGCUGAGGAGGCCGCACCUCGCCGGACGGCUGAGGGCGGGCGACGGGCGGCGCCGGCGGACGGGCCGCGACGCCAGGGAAGGUCAGGCGGCCCGGGGCGUCCUGCGACUGCCCGAGGUCGGAGGCCCGGAGGACCCGCCGCCGCCUUUGUGUCACCAGCCCCCGCCCCGCUGGACUGGCCCGGGCCGGGGCGGUUGGGCCGGCGCUGAAGAGGCUUGGCCGCCCGGGUCCACCCGUUCCCGGAUCCGCCUCGGCGGCCCCCGCGCCCGCCCAACCCCUGCCCAACCCCUCGGCUCCGCGAGUUUGGGUGAGAAGUGCGGCGGCUUUUCCCAGGGAUGGAGUUUAGAGGACGCUAAUCCUAUGUGCGAGCGGCGGACCCCGCCCGGAUUUCCCGGAGGCGCCCGGUUAGUGAGGCGACGGCGCCCACCCGCGUUCGCGGGCUCCCGACCGCCACUCCCCGGAGCCGCCGGCCCGCCCCAGCCCCGCGCGUCGCCCCGGAGGGCGGGCUGCACUCCCUCCACGCACCUGGCUGGCAGAGCGUCUCCAGGGACAAAAGGUGCCCUGGCAUCAAAGCCGAGCCCCCGCCCCCGCCGGGAUGCUGCCCUCCGGAAGGAGGGGCGCUGCCCCCAAGGUACUCUCCCCGGGCACCCAGGGGGAGGUUCCAUUUCAACCUCCGAUGAAAAACACGGCCCUCCCGGGUAUUUAGGAGGGUCUGAGGGUAAGUGCCAAGAUGGAGAAAACACACCGGCCCCUCACAGAGUAUCUCCUGAGGAAUGACAACUAUCUAGUGGGCAAGGAGGGCUUCCUGCAUAGCAGAGGGCACCCCCUCUGAUCCCCCAACGCCAAGGGAAAAAAAUCACUCUUCACCGGCUCCCCUGAGCCAGGACAGGCUCCAGUGCAGCCACCCACCUUAUAAUUUUCCGCGGAUGCUGCCUUGAUCAGAUAGAUCUGAAGAUGACUUUAAGGACUACAAGCAAAUCUCAAGGGAAAAAUUCAGACCUUGAACAACAGCCUUGAACUUUUUCAGGGUUAGACAAGUACUCCCCUGUGGAGUUUCUGCCCUUAUUUCUUCGUUCUUCUGUUAAUUCUUCCAUAUUUUAACAGAACACAGACCUGCCGAAACGACACAGGAUGGCGCUUUGCUUUUUGUUAGUUCUCCAACCUUCCAAACCCUUGGGGCACAUGCAAGCACUGUGGAAAAACUCCAUUAAACCAAGAGUCAUCUUACUCCAGAUCCCAGACUGCUUGGGAAGUUGGACAUGCAUAUUCCCAAAGAGAACAGUGUUGGAAGGAGACAGGAGAGCAGCUCGGGGGUUGGGGGUAGAGGGUAGGAAAAGAGGGCAAGAUGGAUGACUACCACUCGAGGCCAGCCUCCACUGCCUGUUAGGGCAGUAGAACCUAAGAGCCGGUCCAAGGCAACACAAAAGACAGUGAGGCUAGGUCUUUCAUUGCAGCCAACGAUCAAGAAAGCAACUCCAUCAAAUGACACUGUCUUUUAAAAAAAAAUUUUUUUUUUGAGACAGAGUCUCGCUCUGUCGCCCAGGCUGGAGUGCAGUGGUGCGAUCUUGGCUCACUGCAACCUCUGCCACCCGGGUUCAAGCAGUUCUCCCUGCCUCAGCCUCCUGAGUAGCUGAGAUUACAGGCACGCGCUACCAGGCCCGGCUAAUUUUUUUUUUUUUUGGUGGAGUCGAGGUUUUGCCAUGUUGGCCACGUUGGUCUCGAAUUCCUGACCUCAGGUGAUCCGCCCAUCUCAGCCUCCCAAAGUGCUGGGAUUUCAAGCGUUAGCCACCGCGCCCGACCAAAUGACACUGUCUUAAAUGAUUUAAUGUCUUAAAUCGGGAAAGGAGAGUAAGAGAAAGCACUCAACGGAGUCAGAGGUGUCUUGCAGCCUAGCUCUUUCCACAGACAAGCUACAUGGGCCUAUCAUCUAACCUUUUCAAGCUUCUCCGACUGCUUCUGUGUUGGAGGGAUUUGGGCUAGAGGAUCUUUUUAUUUUUUUUUAUUUUAUUUUGGUGACGGAGUCUCUCACUGUCGCCCGGGCUGAAGUGCAGUGGCGCAAUCUCAGCUCACUGCAACCUCUUUCUCCUGGGUUCACGCGAUUCUCCUGCCUCAGCCUCCCAACUAGCUGGGAUUACAGGCGCACACCACCACACCUGGCCUAUUUUUUGUAUUUUUAGUAGAGACGGGGUUUCACUAUGUUGGCCAGACUGGUCUCGAACUCCUGACCUCGUGAUCUGCCCACCUCGGCCUCCCAAAGUGCUGUGAUUACAGGCAUGAGCCACCGCACCUGGCCUGUGAUCCCAUUUUUCAAAGUAAUUAGGCUGGGUGCAGUAGCUCACGCCUGUAAUCCCAGCACUCUGGGAGGCCAAAGCGGGUGGAUCACUUGAGGCCAGCAGUUCGAGACCAGCCUGGCCAACAUGGUGAAACCCUGUGUCUACUAAAAAUACAAAAAUUAGCUCGGCAUAGUGGCACGUACCUGUACUUUCAGCUACUUGGGAGGUUGAGGCAGGAGAAUUCGCUUGAACCCGGGAGGCAGAGGUUGCAGUGAGCCAAGAUGGCACCACUGCACUCCAUUCUGGGUGACAGAGUGAGACCCUGUCUCAAAAAUAAUGAUAAUAAAAUAAAAGUAAUUAUUUAAGGCUGGGAGCGGUGGCUCAUGCCUGUAAUCACAGCACUUUGGGAGGCCGAGGUGGGUGGAUCAUGAGGUCAGGAGGUCGAGACCAUCCUGUCUAACACAGUGAAACCCUGUCUCUACUAAAAAUACAAAAAAAUUAGCCAGGCAUGGUGGCGGGCGCCUGUAGUCCCAGCUACUCGGGAGGCUGAGGCAGGAGAAUCGCUUGAACCCAGAAGGCGGAGGUUGCAGUAAGCCGAGAUCACACCACUGCACUCCAGCCUGGGUGACAGAGCGAGACUCCGUCUCAAAAAAAAUUAUUAUUAUUAUUUAAAAUAAUCAUUGGGCCUGGUGCGGUGGCUCACACCUGUAAUCCUAGCACUUUGGGAGGCCAAGGCGGGCGGAUCACGAGGUCAGGAGAUUGAGAUCCAACCUGGCCAACAUGGUGAAACCCCAUCUCUACUAAAAAUAUUUUUUUAAUUAGCUGGGCGUGGCGGCGGGCACCUGUAAUCCCAGCUAGUCGGGAGACUGAGGCAGGAGAAUCGCUUGAACCUGGGAGUCGAAGGUUUCAGUGAGCCGAGGUCGUGCCACUGCAAUCCACCUGGCCAACAGAGCAAGACUCUGUCUCUAAAAUAAUAAUUUUUAUUAUUGUUAUUCUUGACAGGCCAGUGUAGAACAGGUGGGGCAUCUAUGGUGACAGAACUGGGUUCCAAUUCUGUCCCUUCACCUGUCCCAGGUUCCUCAUCUGAAAACUGUGACCCAGUAAACCUAAUUUCAUGAGCAGCUUUCAUUAAAAUUGAAAUAAUGGUGGAAAAUGCCUUGUAACCGUGCUUGAUGUAGAGUAGUUACUUAGCCAGUUAUUUCCUCUCUUCUUCCCAUUCCUAACAAAAUGGAAAAACGUUUGGUUGCUAGGAAAGAGCCUUAAGGGGAUUUUGUUGUUGUUUGACUCUAUCGCCCAGGAUGGAGUGCAAUGGCACAAUCUCUGCUCAGUGCAACCUCCGCCAUAGACAGGAGCCAAGCGUAGUGGUGUGCACCUGUCGGUAGUUCCAGCCUCUUAGGAGGCUGAGGCAGGAGGAUUGCUUGAGGCCAGGAGUUUGAGUCUAGCUUGGGCAAUAUAUUGAAACCUUGUCUCUUAAAAAAAAAAAAAAAAAAGAGGCCAGGUGUGGUGGCUCACACCUGUAAUCCCAGCACAUUGGGAGGCCGAGGCAGUGGAUCACUUGACACCAGGAGUUCGAGACCAGCCUGGGCAACAUGCAAACUUAUGUCUUUUAGGCCGGGCGCGGUGGCUCACACCUGUAAUACCAGCACUUUGGUAGGCCGAGGCGGGCAGAUCACGAGGUCAGGAGAUCGAGACCAUCCUGGCUAAGAUGAAACCCAGUCUCUACUAAAAAUAAAAAAAAAUUAGCCGGGUGUGGUGGCUGGCGCCUGUAGUCCCGGCUACUUGGGAGGCUGAGGCAGGAGAAUGGCAUGAACCCAGGAGGUGGAGUUUGCAGUAAGCCAAGACAGCACCACUGCACUCCAGCCCAGGCAACAGAGCUAGACGCCCUCUCAAAAAAAAAAAAAAAUUACAUCUUUAAAAAAAAAUGCAGGGCCGGGUGCGGUGGCUCAUGCCUGUAAUCCCAGCACUUUGGGAGGCCGAGGCGGGCGAAUCACGAGGUCAGGAGAUCGAGAGCAUCCUGGCUAACACAGUGAAACCCUGUCUCUAGUAAAAAUACAAAAAAUUAGCCAGGCGUGGCAGCAUGCGUCUGUAGUCCCAGCUGCUGGGGAGGCUGAGGCAGGAGAAUGGCGUGAACCCAGGAGGCAGAGCUUGCAGUGAGCCAAGGUCCCGCCACUGCACUCCAGCCUGGGCGACAGAGCGAGACUCGGUCUCAAAAAAUAAUAAUUAACAAAAAAAAAAAAAUACAAAAGUUAGUUGCACAUGUUGCCAUAUGCUCGUGGUCCCAGCUACUCAGCAGGCUGAGGUUGGGAGAUCACUUGAGCCCAGAAGGUGGAGGUUGCAGUGAGCUGAGAACCCACCAUUGUACUCCAGCCUGCGUGUCAGUGAGAUUCUGUCUCAAAAAAAAAAAGAAAAGAAAAAAAAUCUAGGCUAUGCUCCCUAGUAUGGGAAAUCUAGUCUAGUCAUUUGACAGAAUCAGGCUUUGCAGGCCAUAUUGUCUCUGUCGUAACUACCAACUCUGCUGGUUAAAAGGGAAGUAGCCACAAACAAUAUCUGAAUGAUGGAUUAUGGCUGUGUUCCAAUAAAACUUUAUUUGCAAAAACAGGUUGCUGGUUGCAAGGUAGUUUUCCAACCUCUACGUGAUUCUCAGACUUUAGGUUGCAUCAUAAUCACCUGGAGGGCUUGUUCAAACGCAGAUUGCUGGGCCCCACCCCCAGAAUUUUUGAUUCAGCCAGUCUGGGGUGGGGCUGAUAUUUGUAUUUCUACCAACUUUCCAGGUGAGGCUGGCUGAUGAUGGUCUGGAAACCACUUUGAAAACCUCUGAAGCUUUUCUCAACUCCCUUCUUUGUGUACCUAAAACACUUUAUCCCUACUGUAGAUGUAGCAUUAGCGUGUUAUAUUAGUUUAGUGAUUGGUGUGUGGGUCUCUGGGAGCCUUUCUGAAUCACCUCCCUAGCCUAGUGCCUGACAAUAGCAAUUUGCUCCCCAUUCAUUGACUGAACUGAAACCGGAGGGUCAUGGUCAUCAUCAUUGUUCCAAGCCAUAGAUAGAAGAUGAAGUCACCACCCCUGAUCUCAGAGCUCAUCAGAGUAGAGCUUGGGCUGGACCCUGCCCUUCUCUGCAGUGAGCAGUUUUCUCUGUGGAGCUCUGUGCAACCUGGAGCCAGUCCUGCCUGGGGUAAGAGGAAAAAAGACUCCUUCCCCCCAGCCCCACAGCCUGUACGCAAACACACCGGGAGACAUGACCUGCUCAGAGGAGACCUGGAACCAAGGGAAUAAAAUGAGAGUGGGUUGGGGGCUGCUGUUAGUUAUUUUUUGCUUGUAAGUGGACAAUUUGUGGUGUGGUGUGUGAAUUUGGGGUCUUAAAUCCAGAUAGCUGUCUGCUGUGGACAGCCACUGUUUCUGAAUUACAGGGCAUUUCAAGUGACCUGUGGUCAGGAUGUUUUCUCAGAUCAGGCAAAAUCAAUUGGUCCUGAUAAUAACCAGGGGAGUUGUACUUUCCCUAUCUUGAGUAGAAGAAGCCACAGCUCCCGGGUCCACCUGCCUCUCCUGACUGCCCACCUCCUGGCUUUUUCUUUUUCUUUUUUUUUUUUUUUUUUUUGAGACGGGGUCUUGCUCCAUUGCCUAGGCUGGAGUGCAGUGGUGCGAUCUCAGCUCACUGCAACCUGGGCCUCCUGGGUUCAAGAGAUUCUCCUGCUUCAGCCUAGCGAGGAGCUGGGAUUACAGACGCGCGCCACCUCGCCCAGCUAAUUUUUUUAUAUUUUUAGUAGAGACGGGGUUUCACCGUGUUAGCCAGGAUGCUCUCGAUCUCCCGACCUCGUGAUCUGCCCGCCUCGGCCUCCCAAAGUGCUGGGAUUACAGGUGUGAGCCACCGUGCCCGGCCGGCCUCCUGGCUUUUAUCCUGGGGGCACUGCAAGUAGAGCCAGGCAUGUGGCCCAUGCAUCCUUCCCAGCCUCUUUCCUGCUGGGCAUGGAGGAGGAGGCACUGCCAGGAGCUCCCCACAGACAGGCGCUGCUUACUGAUGGGUUGGCUGCAAACUGUAGGCAUAACAGUUACCUUCCUCUUCACAACCCCCAGGCCUGACGAGGCUUACAUGGGAAUUGCUUUGAUUUGUGAAGUCUUAAGACUAUACUGCUGGGCGAGGUGGCUCAAGCCGGUAAUCCCAGCACUUUGGGAGGCUGAGGCGGGCGGAUCACGAGGUCAGGAGAUCAAGACCAUCCUGGCUAACACAGUGAAACCCUGUCUCUACUAAAAACACAAAAAAUUAGCCGGACAUGGUGGGGGGGUGCCUGUAGUCCCAGCUACUUGGGAGGCUGAGGCAGGAGAAUGGCACGAACCCGGGAGGCAGAACUUGCAGUGAGCCGAAAUCACACCACUGCACUCUGCACUCCAGCCUGGGUGACAGAGCGAGACUCUGUCUUAAAAAAAAAAAAAAAAAGACUAUACUACCUAAUCUUCCAUGCCUCGCUCUUUCCACAUUAAUAGACAAAACCAGGAAAAAGGACUGCUUCCCCUCCAGCUCUUGAUUGGGCUCCAUAAGAACUGCCAAAAGGCCAGGCAGCAUUUGCUACUCUUCUGGGGUUCACUUCUGAAAGGUGCGACCCUGCAACCUAGAGCACAGGGAAGUUAGGACAGCAAAGGAGCUGGGCUGAGCCGACGCUGGCUUAGAACUCUUUCUGAUACUCCCUGUUCCCGCCAGCUCGUUAGCCCAGCCUGCCAAUCAGUUUUGCAUCAAUAAACUUUAUGUUCUGAGGUUGGCCAGAUGAAUGAGAGGAGAGCAGCUAAAGACUGAUCUCUGACCUUGGCACGUAAACAGCCUCCAGAUUGGACUUGACAGUUAAUAAAGGAAAGGCCCUGCAAUUCUCUGAUGUCUUUUUGCCUUAAUUAGAUUGAGCAUUCAAAGGCUAUGGGGAAAUCUUCCAUUUGAAGAGAAAGACCUCACAAGACAGGAAGUCACUUCACUCAUUCAUUCUUUCAGACUGUCAAUCAUUCGGUCUACAGUCACUGGCAUUUGUCAAAUGCCCUAUUACCUGUGCUCAGCACUAUGCUAACUGCUUUUGAGUCGAGUGGCUGCAAGAAUUCCAGAAGUCCAUGCCGUGCUCUUCUGGAAGACUGCACAGCCAGGCAGUCAAGAGCACAAGCUUCAGUUUAACAUAUCUGAGCUCAAAUCCUGAUUCUGCCAUGUGACUUUUGGCAAGUUAUUUAAACUCUCUGCCUUUAGUUUCCUCUUGGAGUAAAUAAUACCAACUUCCACAGGUUGUCAUCAAGGCCAAGUGAGACCAUCUGUGUAAAGUGGGCAGCACAGAGCCUGGUCGUUGGCAGGUGCCUGGUGGCCAUGAACAUGACAGUGCCUGCACUUGGCUGAACUGUCAGGCCGAAAAGCCUCCCUUCCUUCCUUCUCUCACCUCCCCCAUUCCUGGCAUGCUGCCAGUCACUGGGGAGCUGAUGAUGACUCACAAUCCCUGCCCUCAGUGAUAUUAUAAAUCUAUUGUUGGCCGAGCACUGUGGCACAAUGCUUGUAAUCCCAGCACUUUUGGGAGGCUGAGGCAGAAGGAUCACUUGAGGCCAGAAGUUUGAGACCAGCUUGGGCAACAUACCAGGAUACCAUCUCUACCGAAAAUUUAAAAAUUAGCCAGGCAUGGUGGUGUGCACCUGUAGUCCUAGCUACUUGGGAGUUGGGAGGCUAAGGCAGAAGGAUCGUUUGAGCCUCGCAGUUCAGGGUUACGGCCUGGGUGAAAGAGGGAGACCCUGUCCCUUUAAAAAUAAAAAUAAACUAUUGGCCAGGCAUGGUGGCUCACGGCUGUAAUACCAGGACUUUGGGAGGCUGAGGCAGGUGGAUCACUUGAGGCCUGGAGUUCAAGACCAGCCUGGCCAACAGAGUGAAACCCUGUCUCUACUAAUAAUACAAAAAAUUAGCCAGGCGUGGUGGCACAUGCCUAUAAUCCCAGCUACUCAGGAGGCUGAGGCAGGAGAAUUGCUUGAACCUGGGAGGCAGAGGUCGCAGUGAGCCGAGAUCGCACUGCUGUACUCCAGCAUGGACCACAGUGGGAGACUCCCUCUCAAACGCGCGCGUGCACACACACACACACACACACACACACACACACCAAAAAACAGGACGGCCGGGCACAGUGGCUCCUGCCUGUAAUCCCAGCACUUUGGGAGGCCGAGGUGGGCAGAUCAUGAGGUCAGGAGUUUGAGACCAGCCUGGCCAAUAUGGUGAAACCCUGACUCUACUAAAAAUACAAAAAUUAGCCGGGCAUCAUGGCACGUGCCAAUAGUCCCAGCUACUUGGGAGGCUGAGGCAGAAAAAUCGCUUGAACCUGGGAGGUGGGAGGUUGCAGUGAGCGGAGAUCAUGCCACUGCACUCCAGCCUGGGCAAUAGAGUGAGACUCAGUCUCAAAAAAAAAAAAAAGAAAGAAAGAAAGAAAUCCCUGAACCCUUUCACGCUAUAUUUGCUCGCACGUACAGGUUUCUUCAGUGUUAACCGUGUUCAUCACAUUGAUGUGCUGUUUCACUUCAUGCUGUGUGAUGUGAACUUCAGCCAGAGCAAGGAGAAAGCAGUAUAUACUCUGAAAAGGACCCCGCACCGUGUUCACCCAAACAGCACCUUCUCAUGCAUCUCAGAGCCUUCGGCCUCUGGGCCACCUCCUCACUCCCCCAGGGGUGCUCUGAAGCCUUAAGCAGUCUGCUUUUCUUUUUCUUUUCUUUCUUUCUUUUUUUUUUUUUAACAGAGUCUCGCUCUUGUUGCCCAGGCUGGAGUGCAGUGGUGUGAUCUUGGCUCACUGCAACCUCUGCCUCCCGGGUUCAAGCGAUUCUCCUGCCUCAGCCUCCCGAGUAGCUGGGAUUACAAGCAUGCGCCACCACACCUGGCUAAUUUUGUAUUUUUAGUAGAAAUGGGGUUUCUCCAUGUUGGUCAGGCUGGUCUCCAACUCCCGACCUCAGGUGAUCCACCUGCGUCAGCCUCCCAAAGUGUUGGGAUUACAGGUGUGAGCCACCACACCUGCCUCUCUUUUUUUUCUUUUUCUUUUCUUUUCUUUUUUUUUUUUUUUUUGAGAAGGAUUCUCGCUCUGUCACCCAGACUGGAGUGCAGUGGCGAGAUCUGGGCUCACUGCAACCUCCACCUCCCGGGUUCAAGCGAUUUUCCUGCCUCAGCCCUCUGAGUAGCUGAGACUACAGAUGCCCACCACCACGCCCACCUAAUUUUUUGUAUUUUUAGUAAAGACGGGGUUUCACCGUGUUAGCCAGGAUGGUCUCACUCUCCUAACCUCAUGAUGUGCCUGCCUCGGCCUCCCAAAGUGCUGGGAUUAUAGGCGUGAGCCACCGUGCCUGGCCAGCAGUCUGCCUUUCAUGUGCCUCUUUGUAUUUACUGGUUUUUUUGUUUUUGUUUUUUGGUUUUUUUUUUUUUUGGAGACAGAGUCUCACUCUGUCACUCAGGAUGCUGGAGUGCAGUGGCACAAUCUUGGCUCACUGCAGUCUCUGCCUCCUGGGUUCAAGCAAUUCUCCUGCCUUGGCCUCCUGAGUAGCUGGGACUACAGGCACAUGCCACCACACCCGGCUAAUUUUUGUAUUUUUAUUAGAUACAGGGUUUCGCCAUAUUGGUCAUGCUGGUCUCGAACUCCUGACCUCAGGUGAUCUGCCCACCUCAACCUCCCCAAGUGCUGGGAUUACAGGCAUGAGCCACCAUGCCUGGCCUUCUUGUAUUUAUUGGUUUUAAUCCUCAAUUAGAAACCUCUUAGGCAAUUGUCUAGUUUUUACUAGCUAUCCCUAAUUCUUUUUUUUUUAAGUGAAAUCAAGUUUAUUAAGUAAGUAAAGGAAUAAAAGAAUGGCUACUCCGCCGGGUGCAGUGGCUCACGCCGGUAAUCCCAGCACUUUGGGAGGCCGAGGCGGGGGGAUCACAAGGUCAGGAGUUCAAGACCAGCCUGGCCAAGAUGGUGAAACCUCGUCUCUACUAAAAAUACAAAAAUUAGCCAGACGUGGUGGUGGCGCAUGCCUGUAAUCCCAGCUACAUGGGAGGCUGAGGCAGAGAAUCGCUUGAACCUGGGAGGCGGAGGUUGCAGUGAGCCGAGAUCGCGCUAUUGCACUCCAGCCUGGGUGACAAGAGCAAAACUCCGUCUCAAAAAAAAAAAAAAAAAAAAGGAAUGGCUACUCCAUAGGCAGAGCAGCCGCUAUCCUUAAUUCUUAAAUAACCCAGGCUCGUGCUAUUCAGUAUAUGCUUCCCAUCACUUCCUAAAGGGACCAUGAGCGUACAGGAGUUCAGAGUCCUUUGAGAUCUCCUAGUUCAAUCUCCUCAUGUUACAGAUGGAGAAACUGAGUCUUGGAGGAGUGGGGACUUAAUCUUUCCUCUUGUCUCCCUCCCUAAACCAAUAAACAAUCUUCACCCAGAUCGUCAACACAAACCCACAAACCUCACCAGUUUUUCCCUGCGGGAACCUCCCCAUUGCUCUCCUGGCCCUUCUUAGCAGAGAGCCUCAUAUCCUACGUAGAGGAGAGAGGGGAAGUCAUCAGACAGGAACGCCCUCCACCAAGUUGCCCGUCUGACGUGUGGCCGCCCACACUGGGCAAAGGCCACCCUCCAGGCCCUCACUCUGGGCCAUCCACCUGCUCCUCCAGGAUUCUGCCCUGCACCUCUCACCCCUGGCUGACAUAAUCACCUUCUCCUCCUCCCUUCCAUGAGCAUUGCUUUCAACACACACUCAUGCUCCCAUUCUUCAAAAAAUUUAUCAAUUGUAUGAAACUUUCUCCUGACCCUGCUAGUCACCCUUCCUUUUUGUAAUUAAAAUUAAAAAAAAUUUUUUUUUGAGGCGGAGUCUCACUGUCGCCCAGGCUGGAGUGCAGUGGCGCGAUCUGCCUCCCGGGUUCAUGCCACUCCUGCCUCAGCCUCCCGAGUAGCUGGGACUACAGGCGCCCGCCACCAUGCCCAGCUAAUUUUUUGUAUUUUUAGUAGAGACGGGGUUUCACUGUGUUAGGAUGGUCUCAAUCUCCUGACCUCGUGAUCUGCCUGCCUCGGCCUCUCAAACUGCUGGGAUUACAGGCGUGAGCCACGGCGCCUGGCCUCUUUUUUUUUUUUUUUUUUUUUUGAGACAGAUUCUCGCUCUGUUGCCGAGGCUGGAGUGCAAUGGUGCGAUCCUGGCUCACCGCAACCUCCACCUCCU